RNAcentral lists this ribosomal RNA (309 nucleotides) under uncultured eukaryote. RNAcentral's name for it is "partial 18S ribosomal RNA". It matches the Rfam family "Eukaryotic small subunit ribosomal RNA", at positions 1470 to 1796 of the family's 1831-position model. The record is from RNAcentral.
CCCUUAGAUGUUCUGGGCGGCCCGCGCACUACAAUGGCGUGUGCAGCGAGUGCCGAAGUAGAGUUUUCCGAGGUAUUCUUGCAAUGCUCGUUUUGAUGGGGAUAGACCCUUGCAACUGUUGGUUUUGAACGAGGAAUUCCUUGUAAGCAUGGUUUAUCAUCCGACGCUGAAUGCGUCCCUGCCCUUUGUACACACCGCCCGUCACUCCUACCGAUGAGUCGUCCGGUGAAGUUCGUAGACCUCGUGAUCGCGGAUCACUGGGGAAAGCAAAAUGAACCUCGCGGUUUAGAGGAAGGAGAAGUCGUAACA